GUGGAGGUAGAAGGCCCACGGAUCGUGAACUUCUUUUCCCGAAGAAGAAGCAAUGGCAAAAUCUGGGUAAUAAGCAUCGUCUAACUCUGUGCCAGCAGUCAUGGUAAGACAGAGGAUGC
RNAcentral lists this ribosomal RNA (119 nucleotides) under Olea europaea subsp. europaea. Its description in RNAcentral is "Bacterial small subunit ribosomal RNA". It matches the Rfam family "Bacterial small subunit ribosomal RNA", at positions 401 to 535 of the family's 1533-position model. Lineage: Eukaryota; Viridiplantae; Streptophyta; Magnoliopsida; Lamiales; Oleaceae. The record is from Rfam by way of RNAcentral.